This 63-nucleotide transfer RNA is filed under the name Hexarthrius vitalisi. Its description in RNAcentral is "tRNA-Leu". RNAcentral also lists the same sequence under 1 other name. The record is from RNAcentral. Lineage: Eukaryota; Metazoa; Arthropoda; Insecta; Coleoptera; Lucanidae.
AUUGCUUUGGCAGAUUAGUGCAGUAAAUUUAGAAUUUACGAAUGUACGGAGGUACAGGUAAUA